Molecule: ribosomal RNA, 228 nt
Filed under: uncultured bacterium
Lineage: Bacteria
Description: partial 16S ribosomal RNA
Rfam family: Bacterial small subunit ribosomal RNA
Source: RNAcentral
CGGGUGAGGAAUACAUCGGAAUUUGCCCAGUCGUGGGGGAUAACGUAGGGAAACUUACGCUAAUACCGCAUACGACCUUACGGUGAAAGCGGGGGAUCGCAAGACCUCGCGCGAGUGGAUGAGCCGAUGUCGGAUUAGCUAGUUGGUGGGGUAAAGGCCUACCAAGGCGACGAUCCGUAGCUGGUCUGAGAGGAUGAUCAGCCACACUGGGACUGAGACACGGCCCAG